AUGGUGAUGUUCUCUGAUAUCCUUUCUUUUGCCACCAGGUCUGCCUUCUGGAUAUCAUUUCCUUAUCCAUCACGCCAGGUCACCGGUGUGUCUUGCCAUCCUUUGGUUGCAGGAUCCUUCUCUGGGGCAGGUGAGUCCUGCUGUCUCAGGAGCCUGGGGCCUGGCCUUCCGGCUGCCUGGACAGGACCCUCUGCUCACAGCAAACACCGUCUCUAUCCUCUGAGCUGGAAGACCAAGCACCAGCCAGGGCACUUGCAUUUCUGCUGCAGGACACGCAGAGAUGCACAGCCACAGAUAACCUAGCGCCACUCUCAAUUACAGUCUCCUUGAGAGAGGCUGAACUGCUCAGUGCCUGCCAAGAGAUGGUGACUCCAAGCUGUGGAUUUGGUCUGUGUCCCUCCGAGUGGGUUUGCAGAAUGUGUCUGAUUUUCUCCUUCAUGUUACCCGUCAAGGGCAGAAGGUUAUACAAUACUCUGUCAACACAGGCAGCCACCUGCUCCCUACUGCUGGGCCAGGGGCUGGGGGCAGUGGCGGGGUGUUAAGAGGAAUGUCAGCCUUGCAUGAACGCCUACUAUGUGCUGGGCCCUGUGCCAGGCACGGAACUGGCGCUGUUUCAGGGUUUCCCCAAGGUCAUGGCCAGAAUCACCUCAGCUCCAGCCCUGAGCCCCUGUGAACAUGUGGGGGUCGGCAGGAAGGAGACAGAGGGGAGCGGAGCAGAGGCAGCCAGAAGGAAGCAGGGAGAGGAGAGAAAAAAGAGGACGAGAGUGUAGGAUUCAAGGGCAAACUUCAUGGUCAGACGACCUUGAGAAUCACUUCUUUCUCUGACUAGGGUUCCUGUAAAAUAUAAACUGCAGGUGGUGCUUCUGAUGCUUCCCAGCUACCCUGGGGUUGGCAAAGGCUGAAGAGAGCCAGUGCUUCACAUAUUGCCCUGCUAGGUGGCCCCCUCCUGCUGAGCCACGGCCCACAGGGUCCACUGCAGGGGCUCCCAGACCUGCCCAUGCAAAGCCCAGACUUUCUUUCUCUUCUCUGCUUGUACCCAUGGGGGCUUUUUUGGUAUGGGGUAUUUUCGUAUUGGUUUUCCCCUUUAGAUCAGUGGUUCCCAACUGGGGCAGAAUUUGUAUCUCCCACUCCAAGGACAUUAAGCUAUGUGUUAAGAUGUAUUUCGUUGUCGCAUCUAGCGGUGCUCCUGGAAUCCAGUGGUAGAAGCCAGGGAGGCAGUUAGAUACCCAAAAUGCAUGGGAUGACCCCGUAUGAUAAUCACCUAGUUCAAAGUGUCACUGGAACCAGAACUGAGGAACUCUGGAGACAACAGUAUGACCAGGAUGUGCCAUACAGUUCCUGGCUUUGCCCACGAAAGAUCCUCCAGCAUCCAGCACCCAGCCCACCUUCACCUGGCCCAUAGCAGGCAGAGAACAAAUAAUGGUUCAAUGGCAGAACAGAAGUUCAGAGCAUGCUGAGUACUGUCAGGGCUCUGAUUGGGCAAGAAGUUGAUCUCUUGCCUGCCUUGAUAUUUCCUGAAAAGGGACCUGCCAAUCUCUCUGAGUCUAGCCUUUCUCUCUGUUCUCUGCCCAAACAGUGACUGCUUCCUGGAAACCUCUACAAGGUGGAAGAUGGCUGCAGAGUUCUCACCCUGGGCUUGGCCCACCUGGAGGAUGUGAGCGGGCUGUGCAGAAACACCCCGUCCAGGUUCCCUCCCUGGGCUGGGGCUGCUCAUUCUAUAGCUGAUGUCUGGAUAGACCUGUGGACCACCUUGAGGACACUAGACCAGAGUACACUGCCUCUUUCCCUGUCCCCUGAGCCAGUUUUCUACAAGCAGGAGAAAUGUGAUUACUUUUCUUGUGCCCUAAACUUGAGCCCCGUGUCUUAGAAGGAAUGCUCAAGAGAUGUCCACACAGCUGCUGAGAUUUUCCCAGGAUCCUUUCCUGCACAAAGGGAGCUCAGCUUUGGAACAUGAACACACUGCAGGACUCAGUGAAGAGUCUUAUCUCAUCCUUAAGCCAAAGCAGGAGGGGUUCUAGCCUAUCACUGUCCUGGUGUGGCUUGAGGCUGACGGCUGCUUGGCAGGGCCAGAGUCCCCAAAAGUACAGUCUGUGCGGGAAAAGGAUGAAUGAGAGAUCACUGCUGUGGUUUGAAUGUGUCCCCUCCAAAAUUCAUGGGUUGGGACCUGAAUCCCACAUGCAUGAUAGGAUGGGAGGUCGGGCCUUUGGGGAAAUGUGUAGGUUGCGAGGCUCUACUUGUUAAUGCCACCAUGAAAGACAGGAGUUGCCAGGAGGAGUUCACCCCCUUUUUUGUUCUCCUUUGUGCCACAUAAAGACAGUGUUCUUUUCCCGUGGAGGACCGGGAUUCAAGGCACCAUCUUGGAAGAAAAAGCAGCCCUCAUGAGACACCAAACCUGCCAGCACCCUAACCUUGGGUUUCCCAGCCUCCAGAACAGUGAGAAAUAAAGUCCUUUACCCUGUCUCAGUGUUCUG
Chinchilla lanigera (long-tailed chinchilla) is the source of this 2471-nucleotide long non-coding RNA. NCBI's taxonomy places the organism in Eukaryota, Metazoa, Chordata, Mammalia, Rodentia, Chinchillidae. The record is from Ensembl.